CUGCAGAAUAGGCAGAAGUGUUGGCAAAUCACAUAUCUGAUAAAGGACUUGUAUCCAGAAUAUAUAAAUAUAUAAAGCAGUCUUAAAAAUCAAUAGAAAGUCAAAACAAUAUGAUUUUUUUAAAAGGCAAAGAAUUUGAGUAGACAUUUCUCCAAAGACAUAUACAAAUAGUUUAAAAAGCACAUGAAAAAAAAUGGACAUUAUUAGCUAUCAGGAACAAGCAAAUCAAAUGCACCAUGAGAUACCAUUGCACACCCAUUAGGACUGAUAUAAUUUUAAAAACGAAAACAAAAAUCUGACAAUAACAAAAGUUAGCAAGGAUGUGGAGAAAUGGGAAGUCUCAUAAAUGGCAGGGGGAAUGUAAAAUAGUACAGCCACUUUGUAAAGCAGUUUGGCAGUUCCCCAAAAUGGUAAUCAGAGUUACAAUGGCUCAGGAGUUUCAUUGCUAGGCACUGAAUUGAAAUAUGAAAACAAAAUAAAAGAAAAAUGGAUGAGAAUUGAAAACUUACACCUACCACAAAAACUUGUACAUAUGUAUUCACGUGUAUUAUUCAUUACAAAAAAUGGAAACAGUCCAAGUGUUCAUCAAUUAGUGAAUGGAUUAACACAAUGUGGUGCAUCAGUAUAAUGGAAUAUUAUUCAACAAUUAAAAAAAAGUGUAGUGCUGAUGUGUCACAACAUGAAUGAACAUUGAAAUCAUGAUGUGAAGGGGGGGAAAAUCAAGUACAAAUGAUCACAUAUUGUUCGAUUCUAUUCAAUGAAAUGUCCAGAAUUGGCAAAUCUAUAAAGACAGAAAGUGGGUUGAUGGUUGUUAGGGACUAUGGAGAGCGGUUAAUAGGGAAUGACUGCUAAUGGGUUUGGGGCUUCUUUUGGGGAUGAUGAAAUGUUCUGGAAAUAGUGGUGAUGGUUGCACAACUUUGUGAAUAUUACUACAAACCAUUGAAUUGUGGAUUUAAGGAAAAAAAGACUAAAUGAAUGAUAGAAUAGUUGGAAUUAAAAAAAAUCAAUCAUUAGGAGAAUCAAGAUUGAUAUGGGAACUUCAUCAGAUAGGGUCUGGUGAAGAAGGGAAGCUGUGGAAGAAUGGGACUUAGCUUGCUUUGAUGCAAGUCUGAGGGAUGCCUUUCCACUUUACCAUGGCAGCUGCAAGCUGAUCCAACCCACAAUGUCUGGACUGUGAGUGGGUCUGCUGAAACUCAGAUGGUACCCAAGGAGAUUUAGGAUGAAACCUACAGAGAAAGGCCCUGAAGAUUUGCAAUCUACUUCCUUUGAGGUGUGCUGUUAAUCACAGUAGAUUUAGGACUAUCUUCUUUGUGAUUGAAAUAUGAGAAUGCAAUAAAAGACAUAUGAAUGAACAUUGACGUUGUGGCCACACAAAAUUGUACAUACAUAUUCAUUUAUAUAUUACUCAUUACAAAAAUGGAAACAAUCCAAGAGUCUAUCAACUGAUGAAUGUAUUAGCAUGAUGUGGUAUGUGAGUGUAAUGGAAUACUAUUCAAUAAUAAAAAUGAAUUGAUUGCUGAGUAUUCUUCUAGGCACUGGGA
This 1541-nucleotide long non-coding RNA is filed under the name Marmota monax (woodchuck). Lineage: Eukaryota; Metazoa; Chordata; Mammalia; Rodentia; Sciuridae. The record is from RNAcentral.